Molecule: ribosomal RNA, 694 nt
Filed under: uncultured bacterium
Lineage: Bacteria
Description: bacterial SSU rRNA
Rfam family: Bacterial small subunit ribosomal RNA
Source: RNAcentral
GGAAUUACUUUAUUGAAACUUCGGUCGAUUUAAUUUAAUUCUAGUGGCGGACGGGUGAGUAACGCGUGGGUAACCUGCCUUAUACAGGGGGAUAACAGUCAGAAAUGGCUGCUAAUACCGCAUAAGCGCACAGAGCUGCAUGGCUCAGUGUGAAAAACUCCGGUGGUAUAAGAUGGACCCGCGUUGGAUUAGCUAGUUGGUGGGGUAACGGCCCACCAAGGCGACGAUCCAUAGCCGGCCUGAGAGGGUGAACGGCCACAUUGGGACUGAGACACGGCCCAGACUCCUACGGGAGGCAGCAGUGGGGAAUAUUGCACAAUGGGGGAAACCCUGAUGCAGCGACGCCGCGUGAAGGAAGAAGUAUCUCGGUAUGUAAACUUCUAUCAGCAGGGAAGAUAGUGACGGUACCUGACUAAGAAGCCCCGGCUAACUACGUGCCAGCAGCCGCGGUAAUACGUAGGGGGCAAGCGUUAUCCGGAUUUACUGGGUGUAAAGGGAGCGUAGACGGUGUGGCAAGUCUGAUGUGAAAGGCAUGGGCUCAACCUGUGGACUGCAUUGGAAACUGUCAUACUUGAGUGCCGGAGGGGUAAGCGGAAUUCCUAGUGUAGCGGUGAAAUGCGUAGAUAUUAGGAGGAACACCAGUGGCGAAGGCGGCUUACUGGACGGUAACUGACGUUGAGGCUCGAAAAGCGUG